Molecule: long non-coding RNA, 882 nt
Filed under: Citrus sinensis (sweet orange)
Lineage: Eukaryota; Viridiplantae; Streptophyta; Magnoliopsida; Sapindales; Rutaceae
Description: long non-coding RNA (CSIN_LNC000491)
Source: RNAcentral
UUAUGAACAAGAGAAAUACAAGACCAGAUAUUCGAUGAGAAGACGAAUACGGUGAGAAUAAAAGUAGUGUGCUGCAGUCCUGAAAAGAUUAGGGACAAACUAUGCUGCAAAGGUGAAGGUUCAAUCAAGAGUAUUGCAAUCCUGGAACCUGAAAAGCCUAAACCACCACCACCAAAACCCAAAGAACCCGAGAAGCCAAAAGCACCUGAGAAACCCAAAGAACCCGAGAAGCCAAAACAACCUGAAAAACCCAAAGAACCCGAGAAGCCAAAACAACCUGAGAAACCCAAAGAGCCGGAGAAACCCAAAGAGCCCGAGAAACCUAAAGAGCCCGAGAAACCUAAAGAGCCUGCGAAACCCAAAGAGCCAGAAAAGCCUAAAGAGCCACCAAAACCAUCACCACCGGCACCUGCACCGGCACCGGCACCGGCACCUGCACCAGCACCGGCUCCAGUUCCGUGUCACCCGCCGGUCGGGGUGUGCUGCAGGGAAUGUUAUGAGGGGCGCGGUGGGGGACCAUGUUACGAUCUUGGCUAUGGGCAAACGAGGCAUUAUGAUGGGUACUGUGGAAGGCCAGUGUAUGAGGGUUGGGCUGGCGGCUGCGAUACUAGAGGUUAUUACAGAAGUCGUUGCUCAGAUUACAUCUGUGAAGAAAAUCCAACAGCGCCUUGCACCAUCAUGUAAAUUCAUAUUACAUAUACAAAUCCAAUCCAUGCUACUGCCUACCGCCACCCACCAAUGAUCGUGAAUGGUGAUUGUCGGUGAUCAUGUCCUUUUCUUCUAGUUGCCUCUUGUAUGUUGUUGAUUUAAUCAUUUACUUUUUUUUUAUGAUGAUAAUAAAUAACAAUAAUGAUAUAGACUUUAUAGGAAGGAAAAUAAUAG